RNAcentral lists this non-coding RNA (917 nucleotides) under Leptobrachium bompu. RNAcentral describes it as "partial 12S ribosomal RNA". It matches the Rfam family "Bacterial small subunit ribosomal RNA". The record is from RNAcentral. Lineage: Eukaryota; Metazoa; Chordata; Amphibia; Anura; Megophryidae.
UUAGCCUUACUGUUAGUUUUAACAAAAAUUACACAUGCAAGUCUCUUCAUUCCAGUGAGAAUACCCUUAUCGUCCCCUCAGAAGAAAAGGAGUUGGUAUCAGGCUCAAUCAGCCCAAUACACCUAGCUUAGCCACACCCCCAAGGGAAUUCAGCAGUGAUAAAUAUUAAGCAUUAGCGUAAGCUAGACUUAGUUAUUGUUAAUAUAGUCGGUCAAUUUCGUGCCAGCCACCGCGGUUAUACGAAAGACUUUAACUGACAGCCAUCGGCGUAAAGCGUGAUUAGAGGCCCUUCCCUAACUAAAGUUAAACCUUGACCCGGCUGUUAUACGCUCCGUCAACGAGAAACCCAUUUACGAAAGUGACUUUAUUAUCCCCGAAUUCACGACAGCCAAGACCCAAACUGGGAUUAGAUACCCCACUAUGCUUGGCCUUAAACUAUGAUUAAUUACAAUUUUAUUCGCCAGGGAACUACGAGCGUCAGCUUAAAACCCAAAGGACUUGGCGGUGCCCUACACCACCUAGAGGAGCCUGUUCUAUAAUCGAUAAUCCACGAUUCACCUCACCACUUCUUGCCUAAACCGCCUAUAUACCGCCGUCGUCAACUUACCCUUUGAAGGACUAAUAGUAAGUUUAAAAGUAAACACUCAAACGUCAGGUCAAGGUGUAGCGUAUGGAGCGGGAAGAAACGGGCUACAUUUUCUAUUUUAGACCAUACGGAUAAUCAGUAUGAAACCUGACUAGGAAGGAGGAUUUAGUAGUAAAAAGAAAUCAGCAAGUUCUUUUUAACACGGCCCUAGGGCGCGCACACACCGCCCGUCGCCCUCUUCGACUCUUUCACAUUUAUUUUAUAAUUCGAUAUUGGAGGCAAGAAGAGGUAAGUCGUAACAUGGUAAGUAUACCGGAAGGUGUGCUUGGCU